This 707-nucleotide long non-coding RNA is filed under the name Solanum tuberosum (potato). RNAcentral describes it as "long non-coding RNA (STUB_LNC005977)". Lineage: Eukaryota; Viridiplantae; Streptophyta; Magnoliopsida; Solanales; Solanaceae. The record is from RNAcentral.
AACAACUACCAACCACACAUAAUAGUUUGAUAAACUGAGUACCAUGUUUCCCUGAACUAUUAGCCAAGGAAUUCUUUUCCAAAACACAGUGCGUUAUCAUCACAACACUUGGUCAGCAAGGCAAACUAAAGAAGACGUGAUUCUCGUUUGUACAAGGUAAAGCAUCUUCAGCCCAGUUCAUGAUCAAUGCUCAACUAGACAAACACUAGGUGGUCUAUCUUAUUUUACAUGAGGCCAAUAAGUCAGAAAUAUAAGAACAAAAUUUAUCCUCUUCCCGUUCAGAAAUUAAAGUCUAUUAGGUCAGUUUCAAGUUUCCACAACAAUUUUUACUAGUUCCUGUGGCAUAAGAAGGAGAGUUUUUGACACGUUUGGUCCAUUUACUGUCACCCUAAAUAUAAGUUGAUCUCUUUGUACAAUCUGUUAAAAAUCCUUAAAUAUAAGUUAAUCCCUUUGUAUAAUCUGUUAAAACAUUUCAAAUUCUUUUUAGUAUGAACAAAUCUAACACACCCAUCAAAAACAAAAUGCAUGACCACAUCUAACACCUUCUCCACCCAAAAGAGCUGUCAAAGAAAGAUGAAUCUCUCACUUGCUGGCUGUUUGACCAGCCAACACAUUAAUAGGGAAAAAGUAAUCGUGCAUUAUUAACUUGUUUUCCCCAGAUUAAAAACCUCAAGAGUUGUUCAAUGCAAGGAGAACGUACACAGAGC